This 498-nucleotide ribosomal RNA is filed under the name uncultured bacterium. RNAcentral describes it as "partial 16S ribosomal RNA". It matches the Rfam family "Bacterial small subunit ribosomal RNA", at positions 30 to 523 of the family's 1533-position model. The record is from RNAcentral.
AUUGAACGCUGGCGGCAUGCCUUAAACAUGCAAGUCGAACGGUAACAGGUCUUCGGAUGCUGACGAGUGGCGAACGGGUGAGUAAUACAUCGGAACGUACCCGAUCGUGGGGGAUAACGAAGCGAAAGCUUUGCUAAUACCGCAUAAGAUCUACGGAUGAAAGCAGGGGACCGCAAGGCCUUGCGCGAACGGAGCGGCCGAUGGCAGAUUAGGUAGUUGGUGGGAUAAAAGCUUACCAAGCCGACGAUCUGUAGCUGGUCUGAGAGGACGACCAGCCACACUGGGACUGAGACACGGCCCAGACUCCUACGGGAGGCAGCAGUGGGGAAUUUUGGACAAUGGGCGAAAGCCUGAUCCAGCCAUGCCGCGUGCAGGAUGAAGGCCUUCGGGUUGUAAACUGCUUUUGUACGGAACGAAAAGACUCUUUCUAAUAAAGAGGGUCCAUGACGGUACCGUAAGAAUAAGCACCGGCUAACUACGUGCCAGCCGCCGCGGUAA